CUUGGUCAUUUAGAGGAAGUAAAAGUCGUAACAAGGUCUCCGUAGGUGAACCUGCGGAGGGAUCAUUACAAGUGAACAGCCCUUCGGGGCCUGUCUCAUAACCCUUUGUUGUCCGACCAUGUUGCCUCCGGGGCGACCCUGCCUUCGGGCGGGGGCUCCGGGUGGACAAUUCAAACUCUUGCGUAACUUUGCAGUCUGAGUAAAUUUAAUUAAUAAAUUAAAACUUUCAACAACGGAUUUCUUGGUUCUGGCAUCGAUGAAGAACGCAGCGAAAUGCGAUAAGUAAUGUGAAUUGCAGAAUUCAGUGAAUCAUCGAAUCUUUGAACGCACAUUGCGCCCCCUGGUAUUCCGGGGGGCAUGCCUGUUCGAGCGUCAUUUCACCACUCAAGCCUCGCUUGGUAUUGGGCAACGCGGUCCGCCGCGUGCCUCAAAUCGACCGGCUGGGUCUUCUGUCCCCUAAGCGUUGUGGAAACUAUUCGCUAAAGGGUGUUCGGGAGGCUACGCCGUAAAACAACCCCAUUUCUAAGGUUGACCUCGGAUCAGGUAGGGAUACCCGCUGAACUUAAGCAUAUCAAUAAGCGGAGGA
Molecule: ribosomal RNA, 586 nt
Filed under: uncultured fungus
Lineage: Eukaryota; Fungi
Description: eukaryotic LSU rRNA
Rfam family: 5.8S ribosomal RNA (bases 222-375)
Source: RNAcentral